CUGAUACUGAAAUAGGCCUGUAUUCAGGUGCAAAUAGCAUCACUGUACAGUUUUCACAAUGUCACAGCUUUUGUCGUUGUAAGGGUUAAGGGGCACUUAAGGUGAGAGGACUAAUCACUUAAGGCACUAUCGAAAACUUUGCAUUCUCUAAACUGAAUUUCAAGAGUGACACUGGGGCACACUGAACUAGUGCUGCAUAUUAAAAC
Pelobates cultripes (western spadefoot toad) is the source of this 206-nucleotide non-coding RNA. The record is from the annotation of a GenBank genome assembly. Lineage: Eukaryota; Metazoa; Chordata; Amphibia; Anura; Pelobatidae.